GUCCAUUCCUGCUUAGACCGCUUCCGCGUUUGAUACGCAGCAUUUCCUGUUUGUAAAUGAAAGUAAAAGUAUUUUAAUGCUGGACUCUCCUUUUGUCAAUUAACGCGGAUAAGAUUCUGUAUUGCAAGAGGCCCCAGCAUCAGUCAUCUGGUCUAGAUCGGCACAAAAAUGGAGGGAGCUGUUUCUGAAAUGACCCCCCCUGUGGCGUGUAAAACAAAGAGAACUGACAGUGUCCUGAUGGAGAGAGCAGGCUCACCUGUACCCAGCUGUGUUUCCAUGAAGAGUGACAGGUCAAUGGACAAACAAAUCUUCUUCAGUGAGGGACAUUUUCCUACAGAUCAAAGG
Paramormyrops kingsleyae is the source of this 345-nucleotide non-coding RNA. Lineage: Eukaryota; Metazoa; Chordata; Actinopteri; Osteoglossiformes; Mormyridae. The record is from RefSeq and is a predicted model, not a curated record.